AAAACUUUCAACAACGGAUCUCUUGGUUCUGGCAUCGAUGAAGAACGCAGCGAAAUGCGAUAAGUAAUGUGAAUUGCAGAAUUCAGUGAAUCAUCGAAUCUUUGAACGCACAUUGCGCCCCUCGGCAUUCCGGGGGGCAUGCCUGUUCGAGCAUCAUCU
RNAcentral lists this ribosomal RNA (159 nucleotides) under Ramalina leiodea. RNAcentral's name for it is "5.8S ribosomal RNA". It matches the Rfam family "5.8S ribosomal RNA". Rfam says of the family: 5.8S ribosomal RNA (5.8S rRNA) is a component of the large subunit of the eukaryotic ribosome. It is transcribed by RNA polymerase I as part of the 45S precursor that also contains 18S and 28S rRNA. Functionally, it is thought that 5.8S rRNA may be involved in ribosome translocation. The record is from RNAcentral. Lineage: Eukaryota; Fungi; Ascomycota; Lecanoromycetes; Lecanorales; Ramalinaceae.